AUUGAACGCUGGCGGCAUGCCUUACACAUGCAAGUCGAACGGCAGCACGGGAGCAAUCCUGGUGGCGAGUGGCGAACGGGUGAGUAAUAUAUCGGAACGUGCCCGGUCGUGGGGGAUAACGUAGCGAAAGCUACGCUAAUACCGCAUACGAUCUACGGAUGAAAGCGGGGGAUCGCAAGACCUCGCGCGAUUGGAGCGGCCGAUAUCAGAUUAGGUAGUUGGUGAGGUAAAGGCUCACCAAGCCGACGAUCUGUAGCUGGUCUGAGAGGACGACCAGCCACACUGGGACUGAGACACGGCCCAGACUCCUACGGGAGGCAGCAGUGGGGAAUUUUGGACAAUGGGCGCAAGCCUGAUCCAGCAAUGCCGCGUGCAGGAUGAAGGCCUUCGGUUGUAACUAGCUUUGUUACGGUAACG
This 417-nucleotide ribosomal RNA is filed under the name uncultured bacterium. RNAcentral describes it as "bacterial SSU rRNA". It matches the Rfam family "Bacterial small subunit ribosomal RNA", at positions 30 to 448 of the family's 1533-position model. The record is from RNAcentral.